UUUGUAUAAUGGGUCAGCGACUUAGUGUAACGAGCAAGCUUAAGCCGGUAGGUGUAGGCGUAGCGAAAGCGAGUCUGAAUAGGGCGUUCAGUUCGUUGCAUUAGACCCGAAACCAAGUGAUCUAGCCAUGAGCAGGUUGAAGGUACGGUAACACGUACUGGAGGACCGAACCCAUAUCUGUUGCAAUAGAUCGGGAUGACUUGUGGCUAGGGGUGAAAGGCCAAUCAAACUUGGAGAUAGCUGGUUCUCCGCGAAAUCUUAUUUAGGUAGAGCGUCCAGCGAAUACCCC
Molecule: ribosomal RNA, 289 nt
Filed under: Brucella anthropi
Lineage: Bacteria; Pseudomonadati; Pseudomonadota; Alphaproteobacteria; Hyphomicrobiales; Brucellaceae
Description: Ochrobactrum anthropi partial 23S ribosomal RNA
Rfam family: Bacterial large subunit ribosomal RNA
Source: RNAcentral